GAACAAGUGGAUCAGAGAAUGUUGCCAGAAGAUACUACCAGGGCUGCCCAGAUCAGUUGGAAAGGCCUUAGGGACAAAUCUUUAAGAGGUUCUUGCUGUGUUGCCCAGGCUGGUCUUGAAUCCUGAACUCUUGAGCUCAAGUGAUUCUCCCUCCUCAGCCUCCUAAGCUGGGAUUAUAGAUCCUGCUCACACUAAAAUAUGAACCACAAACACACAGAGAAACAACCUGUUCACCACUCCUGGGUGCAUGAUUGAGGGUGAAGCAUCCACCAGCACUUCAAGGGGUCCAUAGUAUUUUUUUUUUUGCUGCCUCAAAGUCCCCAAAGCCUUCGAGCAGAAGUGGCAGUAGAUGGUUGCCAAUCAGCCAAUGCAGACUUUCACUGGGACAACAAGAAAGCAGAUCUUCUGGGUUUUGAUGGAACUUGGCAGUGGGGACAUUCAGCUGAUGCAUUAUAUACCCCGUCAGAGCACACUUGUAUCUUUUACCUUCCCUUUGCCCCAUGCCCCCAAACUGCUUAGGUCUUCUCUGUCCCUUUACUGCUGCUGCACAGAGAUGAUAUAAAAGAGGCUCUUUGGCUAUUUGCAUUUUGCUUCCUCUUCUUUUCCAGAUUACAGUAUGAAGCUUUAUUUUCUUUGUACAAGCUUAAAAUUUCAACAUCAUCAUCCGCCAAAGUUGUUCCUCCCUUUUCGGAGGAUCUAGGGGGAAAGAGGAGCAUUCAUCACAAGUUUCCUAGAGAGAGGAGACAAAUCGG
Molecule: long non-coding RNA, 752 nt
Filed under: Homo sapiens (human)
Lineage: Eukaryota; Metazoa; Chordata; Mammalia; Primates; Hominidae
Description: HSALNT0213322
Source: RNAcentral